This 428-nucleotide ribosomal RNA is filed under the name uncultured bacterium. RNAcentral's name for it is "partial 16S ribosomal RNA". It matches the Rfam family "Bacterial small subunit ribosomal RNA", at positions 354 to 796 of the family's 1533-position model. The record is from RNAcentral.
GUAGGGAAUAUUGCGCAAUGGACGAAAGUCUGACGCAGCGACGCCGCGUGAGUGAUGAAGGCCUUAGGGUCGUAAAGCUCUGUUGAAUGGGAAGAAAAAAAUGACGGUACCAUUCGAGGAAGGACCGGCUAACUUCGUGCCAGCAGCCGCGGUAAUACGAGGGGUCCUAGCGUUGUUCGGAAUCAUUGGGCGUAAAGGGUGUGUAGGUGGCCAUGUAAGUCAGGUGUGAAAGCCCCGGGCUCAACCCGGGAAGUGCACUUGAUACUGCGUGGCUUGAGUACCGAAGAGGGUAGUGGAAUUCCAGGUGUAGUGGUGAAAUACGUAGAUAUCUGGAGGAACACCGGUGGCGAAGGCGACUACCUGGUCGAGUACUGACACUGAGACACGAAAGCAUGGGGAUCAAACAGGAUUAGAUACCCGUGUAGUCC